CACUGUGGCGCAGUGGAUUAAGCCAUGACCUGCAGCACCGGCAUCCUAUAUGAGCGCAGGUUUGAGUCCCAGCUGCUCUACCUCCCAUCCAGCUCCCUGCUAUUCUAGGUCCCGGCUUUCGGCCUGACCUAGUACUCGCUGUUACAGCCAUUUGGGGAGUGAACUAGCAGAUGGAAGAUCUCUUUCUCUGCCUCUAGCUCUCUCUGCAACUCUGCUUUUGAAAUAAAUAAAAGCAACUCUUUAAAUAAAAUAGUUCAUAUACUGUACAACCAUGCACAUGAAUGUGGGUCUAAGGUCCUAGACAUUCCCACCUGCAGAAGAGUGAGAAAUAAAUUUCUGAUGUUUUUCAGUUACCCAGUAGUCAAGGUAUUUUGCUAUGAUAGCAUGAAAGGACUGAGACAUCUGAGAAUGUCUCACUUUCUCAGCAUUUGAAGGACAGUUUUGGAGAUAGAGUUCUCUGUUGAUGCUUACUUUGCCUUCCACACCUGGACAAUAUGAAUCAUUGGCUUCUGGUUCCCCACUGUUUCUCAUUGAGAAAUCUGAUGAUGAAUUUUGUGGGGAAAUAACGAUGAAAGAUACCUUCCUCUCAGCUCUACAGAUAUUAACAUGUACUUAGUGGUGUCUUGGGCAACAAAACAUUUUGUUGUAGUGUCAGGAUGCCAGUGCAGUUGUCCCAUCAUUCUGAGACCUGUCAUUCAGAGAUUAAAGAGAAAGGAAUGGAUAUUUUCAGUGUAGACAGUAGGAGCUCUUCAAAAGCCAAAAGUUAUUAUAGAUGUUGAAAAUGAAAAGGAAAAGGCCAUUGAAACAUUCUGUUGGUUUUUAUUUCUCAAAAAGUAAGUAUCAAUCUCUAUCACUAUCCUAAGGUGGGGAGAAAAGCUUUUGGGAUUCUUUCAUUUGUUCAAUCAGAAAGGUUCUUGAGAAGACUAACGUGGACUGUCUCCAGCUGUGAUUGGUCCAUUUCUUGCUCUAACAUCAUAAGGAGCCACUAUUAUGUAAUAAUUCCAAAUGCCUAUGUAAGCCCCUGGCUAGGCCUAGGUUCUUGUCCAUUUUGCCCAUAAAGCUCUUUUUUGGACCAAGCUAGCUAGUUUUUCACUUGUUUUGUUUGUGUCUGUUUGGAUUAGUUUUUCUUUUUUCUCUUUUUUUUAUUUUGUUUUUUUCUCCCUUCUAUUCAUUUUCUUUUCCCCCUUUUUCCUUACACAUUUCCUCAUUUCUUUUUUGAUAUUUUGUCAUUUAUUUUCCUCUUAUUUUUCAUUGUUUUCAUUUUCUCAUUUCCAAUUCUUAUGUUUCCCAUUUUUCUCAUUUUGUGUUUUUUCUAAUUUUUAAUCCUUUUACUUAGGACUACCAUUUUUUUAAGAUUUAGAUUUUAUUUAUUUGAAAAACAGAGAGAGGAAGUAACCUGGACAGAAAGAAAUAGGCUAAUUAGAAUUACUGAAUAGAAUUGUUGUUAGUAUAGUUAUUAUAGCUAGUGUUGUUUUUCUUUUCUUUGCAGAUUUGCUUUUUUUUGUAUUUUCUCAUUUUAAUAUUUUUAUUUUGAUAAUUUUAAUGAUUAGUGUAGUAUAGUUAAUGUACUGUUGUAUACUUAAUAUAGUUUUAUCUGUUAGUAAUAUUUGCAUAGUUAGCAUUAUUCAUUUUUAUUUGCUUUAUGGUUAACGUAGGUGAUUACUUGGGGCUACCAGUAUUUUAGAGUAGAGAGGUGAGUCCCACCACAGAAGACCGCACAUCCUUCCACCAUGAGGAGGAAGUCGUCGAUGGAAACCAGGUCCAGUACAGCUUUGGCCAGGAGAGGCUGCCCCACCAUCUGGAAAGUGGGACCCAAGUGGCCAUGUGUCGCUCCGUGGCUCGUGCGGGCUCACGGUGUUCCUGCCCAGAGACUGUCCACCUCCAACAGCGGCAAAGCCACUGCCCUGAAGCCUGCACACCCUGAAAACAGAGCUGACACCUGGGAGAGUUUCGACAGUGCUGCGAACUCAAGAGCAGGCUUCUGCGACAGGGGUUCAAAAAGUUAUGUGGGAAAUGGAUUUAGGGGUGAGUUUAUUUUUGGUGCAAAUUUUCUUUUUUAAUUCUUUUUUUAAAAAGAUGUACUUAUUUAUUUAUUUGAAAGACAGAGUUACAGAGAGAGGGAGAAAGAGAAAAAGAGUUCUUCCACCUGCUGGUUCACUCCCCAAAUGGCUACAGCGGCUGAAGCUGAGCAGAUCCGAAGCCAGAAUCCAGGAGCUUCUUCUGGGUCUCCCACAUGGGUGCACAGUCCCAGGUACUUGGGCCAUCCUCCAUUGCUUUUCCAGACCAUUAGCAGGGAGCUGGAUCAGAAGUGGAGCUGCUGGGCCUCAAUCUGGCUCCCAUGUGGGUUGCCAGUGCCACAGGCAGAGGCUUAACCUACUACACCACAGUGCCAGUUCCCUUUUAUAAUACUUGCAUACAAGGAGUACUUAAAAAGUUCACAGUGUGUAUUGUGAGAAGACUAUGAAUGCAUUUCAAUUUUUUUGUGUGCCAAAAUAGAUAAUUGUUUGUGUAAAUGCAAGGCACAGAGACAGAGAACAACAGAAAGAGAUAGUUUCCAUUUACUGGUUUACUCCCCAAAUGCCCACAAUGCCCUGAGCUUGGCCAGGUUGAAAUCAGAAACCAGGAACUCAGUCCAGAUCCCCUGUGGGAGUGGCAGGGAGUAACUUAAGCCAUCAGUACUGCUUCCCAAGGUCCACUUAGCAGGUAGCUAGAGGCAGGACAACAGGCAGAGCCAGGCAUCGAACCCAGGCAUUCUGAUGUGAAAUAUAGGCAUCUUAACCCAGAUCUUAAUUGCUAGGCUAAACACGUGUCCCUAAAUGUAUCUUUUAAUUUUAUUUUCCAUGAAGUUAUUGAAAUACAUUCCAAUUGUUAAGUGGCUUUUUUAAAAUUGUGUAAUUUAUUUGAAAGGCAGAAAGACAAUGAGACAGAGAGAGAGCUCCCAUUUGCUGGUUCACACACUCGAUCUGGGCAACUGGGGAUGCAUCAGGACAAAGCCAGGAGUCGGGAACUCAACCCCAGGUGCAAGUACUUGUGUGCCCACCUGCUGCCUUGUAGGAAGCUAGAACCAGAGGCAGAGCUGGGACUUGAACACAGGCACUUUGACGGAAUGCAGGCAUCACAAUCAGUGUCUUAACCACUGCGCCAAAGUACCUGCCCCUGUUAUUUGGCUUUGCCAGAAUAAAAAACAAAAUCUAUUGCUCUAAAAUAACUACCAGACUCUUGGGCACGGAAUGAUAACUCGGUGCGUCUAGGCCCAGGGUUGUCGGGAAAAGGCAGGAUGAAAGUGUGCAAAGAGGCCUUGUCUCUACAAAAGGAGACCCCCAAGAGACUAAAGUUUAAAAGUCAGUGCUUUCGAGAGAGGCUGAAACUUUGCAAAAGCCUGUUUUGCUGUUUCUUUCUGCUUUGGCAUUAGUUUGCAUUAUUGUGCUGGUCUUUGAUUUACAUGUUUUAGAGCAACAGCAAGCCCUGCCUCUAUAAAAUAGGAAAAAGAAAGCACAAUCUUUGAAAUUUCAAACGACAGGUGGUUUAGAUAUUGGUUUGUAAUGUGGGGUUCCACUGGAGCUCAUGCAUAAUUUUGCCUUUUCAAAUGGAUUUACACAGCUCAGAUGCAUCCGGAAGAGCCUGGGGCUCCUCCGUGUGAUGGCUGCAAGUGGCACGGCAUUUUGAGUCUUCAGAGCUGGAGUUACUGACCUCAGUAGUUCAUUAAGGAGAGGGCAAUCUUCAAUCUGAACAGCGCUAAAUGCAUAUAAGUCAGUUCAAAGGCAAGACCAGUUCUGGGAGGGAUUUGCCACAUCUCUAGUAUAUGAGUGUCUGGCAGCACUGUGUGUCUGGAAAACUUUGAUCUGUGUGGUGGCUUCACAAAGGUGCCUCUUGCCUGAGCCAAGGUCAGGGUCCACGUUUCCAGGACUCUUAUCUCUCCAGUGUGCUUUUCAAUACCAUAUUGAUCAUUCAUUCUACUCAAGGGCAUGAUGUGCCAUUUUCAAAGAGGAUUUAACGUGUUAUAGGACAUCUUGUAAAUAAUUUUAAAAACAUGAGCCUGCAUUUUAUGCAUUCCAAAGACAGCAUUUGCAUUGAGACUUGUUGAUAUAAUUAAUUGGACUGCACAGUGCCGACAUUGAAGGGCACAAAGCAUUUCUCCCCAGCACUUCUUGGGCCAGUUUCCUGUGGAUGUUAAUGUUAUCAUCUCUGGCUGGAGCCACAGCUCACUUGGCUAAUCCUCUGCCUGCGGCGCCGGCACACUGGGUUCUAGUCCCAGUUGGGGCGCCGGAUUCUGUCCUGGUCGCUCCUCUUCCUGUCCAGCUCUCUGCUGUGGCCCGGGAGUGCAGUGGAGGAUGGCCCAAGUGCUUGGGUCCCUGUACCCGCAUGGGAGACCAGAAGCACCUGGCUCCUGGCUUCGGAUGUGCAGGCCACAGCACAGCGGCCAUUGGGGGAGUGAACCAAUGGCAAAGGAAGACCUUUCUCUCUCCCUGUCCACUCUGCCUGUCAAAAAAAAAAAAAAAAAAAAAAGCUUUCUAAUAAAUUUAUUUCCCUCCUUUAUUUUCUUCUCUUCUUCCAUGUUUGUCUCCUUAAGGAGCUAAUACAUAUAUAAACCAUUUAUCAUUUUUGUUAUUACUCCUGCCUUCAGAUCAGCUUGCAUUCCUUCUUCAAACAGGUCCUUCAAACAGGGACCCCUGUUGUUGUUGAGAUGGCAGCUUUCUGUUGUUGGGAAAACUGGGAUUGAUAGUGACUCCCAACUCUCAGUUCUGGGGGAGGCCCCAGGACUGGCCAUUGCAAGUGUGUGCACCCAGCUCCCCUCUGAGUGCCCCAUGCUGUCCCAGGCAGCUCUGCUCAGGAAUUUCAGCCAGGCUCAUUUAUCCACUUUGUGGUAUUUUGAUUAAAGAGCAAGCACUCAGGUAUUUGUGAACAAAAUAUGAAAAUAUCCAGACAUUCUGUUUGCAUUAAGAAAAUCUGGGUGCUAACAUAUUACAUUGCCAAGACUUAGUAAAAUAAUUAGGAAUGAGAGAUAUUUUUCUUGAUUUCCUAAACAGAUAAUCAGCUGUAACUAAGAGAUGUUUACAUAUUGAGUUAAUGGUAGAUUUCAGUUCAACUCCAAAGCAAAGCAGAGAUGCUAGGAGAGUUUUUCAUCUUGCCCCAAGCCUGGUUUUUACAGGCCAUGAUAAUUAUGUCCAAAUGACCACUCAGUGCUCUUGCCAGAGUUGAUUGAAGAAAGACAAUUUGCUGCGCUGUAUGUAUUGCCUUAGGAAACAGUGAGCCAAAUUCUCUAAGAGACACUUCUGUUUUUCAGUUAAAUAUGUUGAAUGAGUGUAAGCAUUUUAUAAGCCGGAUAUAUAUAUAUAUUUUUUUUGACAGGCAGAGUGGACAGUGAGAGAGAGAGAGAGAGACAGAGAGAAAGGUCUUCCUUUUUACCAUUGAUUCACCCUCCAAUGGCUGCUGCGGCUGGCGCACUGUGACCGGUGCACCGCGCUGAUCUGAUGGCAGGAGCCAGGUACUUAUCCUGGUCUUCCAUGGGGUACAGGGCCCAAAUACUUGGGCCAUCCUCCACUGCACUCCUGGGCCACAGCAGAGAGCUGGCCUGGAAGAGGGGCAACCGGGACAGAAUCCGGCACCCCGACCGUGACUAGAACUCAGUGUGCCGGCGCCGCAAGGUGGAGGAUUAGCCUAUUGAGCCACGGCGCCGGCCUUAGAUAUUAUUUUGACUUAACCUCUCUGUGCCAGGUAAAGCCCUUGCCUUCACUUUCCAAGUCCUGCCCCUUCUUCUCUGCUGUAUAGUCCAGUCAACUUGGCUUAAAGCAAUCUCUGCCUCCUUUGAAUGCCUUUUACUGUGCUUGCCCAGGUGACCCCUGUGGCAUUUACCCCAUGCUGCAGACUCUCACUCCUAAUAUAUCUCAAUGCAUCUCAUUUCCCAAGUCUGAGGAACAGUUUCACAACCUUGUCUGCACAAACAGUUCUCUCAGCAUUUCCUGAACACAGGUUCAUCAGUCGACAGCAGCAUGUGAGUUGUGCUAGGCAGUGAGGGCAUGGUGAACUUGGACAUGACCACCACCCUCUUGAGUUGAUCCGUCCAGUACAUUCAUGAGUCGGAGUCAAAGAAUGCAUAUUAUUUGCAGAAUCAGGUAUAAUGUUUGGACCAGUUUGAGGGUCCUGAAGAUGCUUUUGAGAAAGGAGCUACGAUUCUACUUUGCCUGUUGGCAAGCUUACGUCUGGUAAUGGAAGGCCAAGAGCUGGUGUGUAUGCUUUUGCUGCAAGUGGGAUCAAUGAGUUUCUUACAGCUGCUUUUGAAAAGGUGUAUGGCACAAACCUAUUUCAGUAAGUCCAUAGUUGUCUCUUUUAGGCUCUUCCCCCGAACACAGGACCCCUAGAAAUCAAUAUUCAUAUGCAUUGUACCUUUGGAAGCACGAAUUUACGGAGUUGUUAGGUUGUUCGAGUGAUCAAAGACUGACUAGCAGCUAACUCUUUCCAUUUUAGACUAUAAGUUAAACUUUUGUUCAUUGUUGCUCAAAAGUUGUCAAUAAGGCACUGGUGCGUUGAGUUAAGCUUGCAAAACCAGGGUCCCCUAUUGCAGUGCCGCUUCGAGUCCUGGCUGCUCCGCUUCCAAUCAAGCUCCCUGGGGGCCGGCGCCGCGGCUCACUAGGCUAAUCCUCCGCCUUGCGGCGCUGGCACACCGGGUUCUAGUCCCAGUCGGGGCUCCGGAUUCUGUCCCGGUUGCUCCUCUUCCAGGCCAGCUCUCUGCUAUGGCCCGGGAGUGCAGUGGAGGAUGGCCCAAGUGCUUGGGCCCUGCACCCCACAGGAGACCAGGAGAAGCAUCUAGCUCCUGGCUUCAGAUCAGCGUGAUGCACUGGCCGCGAUGCACCAGCCGCGGCGGCCAUUGGAGGGUGAACCAAUGGCAAAAGGAAGACCUUUCUCUCUGUCUCUCUCUCUCACUGUCCACUCUGCUUGCCACCCAUGAGGGAGACCUGAAUGGAGUUCCAGCCUCCUGGUUUCGGCUUGGCCCCAGCCCUGGCUCUUGUGGCCAUGUAGGGAGUGAACCAGCAGAUGGAAGAUUUCUUUUCCUUUCUCUGUGUCACUCUGCCUUUCAAAUAAAUAAAUAAUAAAUAAUCUUUUUAAAAGUUGUCAAUAAAAAAUAAAUUAGGUGAAUAUUUUUAAAUGCAAUUUUCUUUUUUUUAAAGAUGUUAUUUAUUAUUUAAAAGGCAGAGUUACAAAGAGGCAGAGACAGAGACAGAAAGAGGGGUGUUCCAUUUCCUGGUUCACUCCCCAAAUGGCCCAAAAGCCAGAGCUGGGCCAAUUCGAAGCCAGGAACCAGGAGCUUCUUCCAGGUCUCCCAUGCAGAUGCAGAGAGAUGGACCAUCUUGUGCUGCUUUCCCAGGCCAUAGCAGGGUGUUGGAUUGGAAGUGGAUUGGGUCAGCACUAUGGUGCAACAGGUUAAAUCCCUGGCCUAAAGUGCCAGAAUCCCAAAUGGGUGCCAGUUCUAGUCCUGGCUGCUCUUCUUCCUUGGGCCUCUGCACCUGCGUGGGAGACCUGGAAGAAGUUCCUGGCUCCUGGCUUUGGAUCGGCACAGCUCCGGCCGUUGUGACCAUCUAGGGAGUAAACCAACAGAUGGAAGACCUCUCUCUCUGUCUCUACCUCUCUCUGUAACUCUGUCUUUCAAAUAAAUACAAUAAAUCUUUAAAAAAAAAAAAAAAAGAAGUGGAGCAGCUGGGACUUGAACCAGCGCCCAUCGGGAUACCGGCACUGUAGGCAGAAGGCUUUACCCACUAUGCCACAGUGCUGGCCCCAGGUGAAAUAUUUUACAAGUUAGGUGUCAACAAUACAAAAAAGUUUCUGGUUCAAUAUGGCAACAUGACUCUCCUAAAACAUUAAUAAAUUAUGGAAAACCACAUCUAAAGGUAUAAAACAAAGAACACAGGAAGAGUUAAUAGUAAAAGAGAGAUUGUGCGAAAGUCGUGGAAGUUAGAAAACGGUUGGAGUUUUGGAAUAGGAGCCUGAAGCAGCCACUACCGAGGACAAGGGAGGAGACAAGGGGGCUGUGUGCUCUGAGAGCCCUGGAAGGCUCACAACUGAGAAGAACUAGGGUGCAGGGGCAUAGGAGGGAGACAUGUGAUAAAAGUAGGCAACUAAUUGAUCACUAUGGACCUAAGCCCCCACUCCCGUGUAGCAUACAGGCAGUCAGACGACUUCCCAGGCAGAGGUAACAAAAGCUCUUCUCUUUUUAAAAAGAUGUAUUUGGAAGGCAGAGUUACAGAGAUGGGCAGACAACUGGAGGGAGGGAGUGGAGGAGGGAGGGAGAAAGGGGGAGAUAGAGAAAGAGGUGGAGAGAGAAUGAAUGAAUGAAUGAAUGAAUCUUCUAUCUGCUGGUUCACUUCCAAAUGAGCACAACAGCCAGAGCUGGGCCAGGCUGAAGCCUGGAAUUCCACCUGGGUCUCCCACGUGGGUGGCACGGGCCCAAGUACUUGGGCCCUCUUCCGCUGCUUUCCCGAUGCAUUUCCAUGGAACUAAACCUGGAACCGCUGCUCAAAUGGGAUGACCGUGUCACCAAAGGCCACUUAACCCACUGCGCUACAAGGUUGACCCUAGCGAAAGGUCGUCACUGCAGAAAUUGCCAAAAUGUGUCAGAAACUUGCAUAGGUUGUGACACCUGGGGCCAAGACCCCACAGAAUUAUGGCAGCCUGUGUCCCUUAGCACACAGCUGGUGAACCAGCCCCAUUUCAUUCAUUGAGAACUGCCUGUAGGUACGACCUCACUCACAUUCAGAAAGCCGUCACUCAGUCAUCUUACUAUUUCCUAACUAUAAACAGGAACAAAGUAUCCCUGGUCCUUUAAGGAAACUCAGUAUAUAGGUGAUGAAGGCCUAGAAAAUAAGUCAUAAAAAAGAGAGAAACAGACAAGAGCAAUACCUUGCAAGAAACAGAUAAUCUAGGAAUAACAACAAACUUUAAAAAAUGUAACUCACGUCACAGAGACAUUAGGGAACACAGUGCACCUCUUAAAACAAGAACAGUAUGCUCCAUAAAAACAGAGGACACAGUGAAAAAUGCAUGAUAGACUCAGAAAGUAUUCUUGGUAUUAAAAGAUCUAUCAGACUUAAACAUCAGUUGAAUUGUUGAACAGUAAAGUAAGUGAAUUUCAAAAAAGGUGAAACAAAUCUAAAAAGAAAGGAAAACAUAACGGAAAUGUAGGAGAGAAAAAAAAGCUAAUCUUGGAGGCCCAUCCCAACUCAUAGACAUUUCAGAAAGAGGAACCGAGUUAACUAAAGAGAGGGACUAGACAAAACAGUUUUUCUUAGAACUGAAGGUCAUUCGUGGUGAGGUUGAACAUAUCCACUGGAUGUUCAAAACGAUUACAAAAUGCAGGUGGCCAUUAGCUGUGCUAUUUGAAAUUGGAGAAAGCUGGGGUCAGUAAACAGGCCUUGCCAGCUCCCAGAGGGGAGGAAAGCCAGACACUCCCAGAGGAACUAGAGUCUGAUUGGCUCAGUCUUCUCGUGAGUUGUAGAAAAAGAAAGGGAAGCAAUGUCUUAAAAUUGCUGAAGGAAAAAAAUCUUCAAUCUAGAUUUGUACAACCAGCUUAAUUAUCAAUGAGGUCUGAGAUUUGCUUCUGGUGUGCUCAGUUUUACAAGCAAAAUGGGGAUGGAGAGAGGUGAUCUAAGAAAUAAUGAGAUGAGCCUGCCAUACAGAAAAUGUUGGCUGGAGUCCAGGAGAGUGAUGAGGGCUGUCUCCGCCUGUCUGUCGGGCAGUUUGGAGAGAAAUUUCUGAAGACUGGAGCAGGAUGGGAGAAGGCUCAGGGAGGGGUGUAUUUAGGUGAAUAUAGAUUCCUUGAGAAUCUGAAAAACCUAAGGAGACAACAGUGACAGAUAAUUCAACACAAAAGAAAGGUAACAGAAAACUCCAGGAAAAACAAAAAGCUUUAUAAGGGAGUAGAAUUAUAGUUGUGCAUGAAAUAGUUACUUUGUCAUGACAAUUUUAAAAUAAUUUUCAAUUUUAUAUUGAUAUUAUAAAAAAGUACAUGAAACAACUUUGUGAAUGAAAAACAGAAGGUAGUGUUGCCAUCUUUUUAUAUAAACAAAAAAUACAAAGAAUACUAUUUGGCGACAGAUGGGAGGAGACCUAACAUGUAAAAUCAAGCGAUAUUAGUGGUUGAUCGAGAAAUGUGAAAAUGCAUUAAUUAAAGUUGAAAAGAUGCAUAGUGUAGAAAAUAAAAAUAGUGAUGUAUAAAUAUUAGGAAGAGGUGUGGAAAGUGGCAAAAGAAAGCUGUAUUUGCAUUUUGCAUAGCAUGAAGGUUUUGACAAUGCCCAGGUGUAUAAAUAUAUUAUUUAGCAGUAUGGCUGUAAUCACCAGAAGAAGGCAAAUCAUAACAGUUGAAAACAUUCAAGAUGGUUUUGUAUAAGUUGUAACAGGUAGAAAAAAUUGGGGCAUGGGCAUGUAGCUUUUUAUCGUAAGUCAUUCUAUGUUGUUUUUAAAACCAUAGGGUGGGUGUUUGUCCUUGUGGUUAAGACACUUGCAACUCCAAUCACAGUACCUGGGGCUUAAGCCAGAUUCUACCUCCUGACUCCAGCUUCCUGCUAAUUUAGAUCUUGGGAGGCAAGCAGAGGAUGGCUCAAGUAAUUGGAUUCCUGUCACCCAUGUGAGGGACCAGGAUCGAGUUCUAGCUCCCUGCUUCAGCCUCAGGCUGGGCCCCACCAUUGUGAGCAAUUGGGUAGCAAAUCAGUGGAUAGAAACUCUUUCUCUCUUCAUCUCAAAUAAAAAAAUAAUUUUAAGUGUAUAUUCUUUACUUUGAUAACAGUUUUAAAUAUUACACAAAUAUGAAGAUUUAUGGACAGAGAACUCAUCUUGGGGAAAUUUUCACCAGAUCAAAAGCCUGUCUUUCAUGUCAGGCUCCUGCCUACGCCUGCACAGGGUCCUUCCUCCUGUGUCAGGCCUUCCCCUGAUCAGACAUUCUCCCAACUUCUAAGACGGUACUUUGGAUGGGAGAUUGUUUGCAGGUUUAUGUGUGAAAUCCAGAACAGAACUGCUGAGAUUCAUAGUAGGUGUCCCAGAAAAUUCCUGACUGUAUCAAGAUGAGAUAAAAAGAAGUGAGCAGGUUGUGGAAGCAGCUGGGAGGAGCUGUCCUAAGGGAACAUGGGCCCUUUUGAUGUCACAAUGAAGUCAGUGCUGCUUGGGAUGGCAGUUAAGAUACAAUUCAAUCCCAGACUCUAUGCCCCACACAGCAAGGGCUGAAUUAUGCACUUACUAUGUCAGUUACUUUGUACUUGUUAUAGUUGAUCGCCACAGUUCCAUGCCAUUAGUAUCGUCACUGCCAAUUCAGUUGAAGAAGAGAGGCUCAAGAGAGUGUAGGUAACUUGCUCAAGAUUUCACAGUCAAUGCAUGGGAGCUAAGGGUGUGAAUCCUGCUCAGCUGACUGCGUUCCAGUCACGCUGCCUUCCUGCCUCCCUUUCUUUUUUAUUUUUUAAAAAUAUUUAUUUUAUUUGAGAGAGUUACAGAGAGGGAGACACACACACACAUACACACACAGAGAGAGAAUUUUCCAUCUGCUGGUUCACUCCCCAAGUAGCUGCAUCAGCUGGGGCUGGGCCAGGCUGAAGCCAGGAGCCAGGAACUUCAUCUGGGCCUCCCAGGUGAGUGCAGGGGCCCAAGUACUUGGACCAUAUUCUGCUGCUUUCCCAGGCACAUGGGGCUGGAUCAGAGGUGGAGCACCCAAGACUCACACCAGCACCCAUAUGGGAGGCAGCAGUUUAACCUGCUGGGUCACAAUGCCCUUUCUCCCUCCUUCCUUUCUUUCCCUGUCUUUCCUUCCCUUCCUCCUCCCCCACCCCCUUCUUUAUUUCUCUAGUCAUUACCAACAUGCAUGCAGUUCUUGGAUUCUUGGAGUUACCUGCUAAUUUUUGGAGUUUUCCUUUAUGUCCUCCUUCCUAUCUCUGUCAAUACAUUACAUCACCAGCAACUUAACUCUGUUUUGAGUUCUGUCCUUGGAAACAGACCGCCUCCAUCUGAACCUUGCUCUGUGUGUGAUCAGCCCCUCCUGUGGUGCUGAGCAGUGAGAUGGCCUCUGCGGCCUGUGGCGGCCUCACCUGUGGAAAGGCCAUUAUCAUCCAUUCACUGGGGAUCGAAUGAGCUGGUCUAUACAAAGCUCUACAGCCAGUGCCUGACGCCAUUACCUUCUGGCCUUCUCAAGCAAGUUUGGGCUUUCCUUCCCCCAUCUCCCUCAUUUGGAAGACUUCUAUGAAGAGUUCUAUGAUAACAGACUGCUUAGCAAUUUUACUUCUGGUUUGCAACCACUAUGCAAUAUUUUGUUGUGUUCGUUUUGUAUUUUUCAUUUAAGAGCACUUAGAAUGGGGGACCCAUGCUAGGACUCACUAGAAAGCCGCCACUUUUCUCAGGGGUCCAAAUAGUCAAAUAAACAUUGGGUACCCUGUGUAUUCAUUUAUCUAUUGACUCAUUCAUUCUCUGUGCCAUGUGCCGGGUUUGCUGAUAGGAGUAAGGUGACCACACACCGGUGUUCCAACUCUAUCUACAAAAAGGCAGGCAAAAUACGGUUCCCAGGUUGGUAUUUGAUCUUUGGUGUGUGUGAGUGCUAGCUGCUGUCGGAAUUAAGAUAAUGGUGUCUGGAAUUCUGAAUGUGCCUCUGUUAAGUCACUUGUAAUCUGUUAACAUUGAACAAUUAAAUGGUUGUGGAAUAGUACAGCAGUGUGGGCCAAAAAUCCUGUCAAUGAAUGCAAGAGGAUCUUAAGCAGCUUAUUGAAAUAAAAAAGGUAAAGUUUCAAAAAAUGGUAUUCAGCCUUUAUUCUGUGAUGAGAAGAAAAAUGCCAGUGCUUUAAUUGCAAACAUGAUUUCCUGAAGCAUUCCAAGUUUUCCUUGGAGACUUCCAGGGCCAGGGAUUGACUAUCCUUGUGCCUACUUGGAUAGAAAAGGGCUUGAUAAAAGUGCUCUGUCUGCUGGCACAGUUUAAUCACUUAAUACCUUGUUCCAAUUGAAAACAUAACCCAAGCCCAUUCAGAUGAUGGAGCACCUAUACUUGAUCUGUCUAUGGCUUGUGCAGUCACUGAUAUUUCCAAGGGAAGUCUUGUGAUUAUCGAAAUGGAAAUUAAUUUCAUAGACUUGGGGCUGAACUGAAAAAAAAAUGCUCAUUCUUGUAAUCCGCUGAGGAUAAUUCCUGAAAAUGUUUCUCAGAGUAAAUAAACUCAGGACCAGUCUGAAAGGAAUGGGCUUGUGUGGGGGCUGGGGACUGGGAGCAGAGGUGUGAUUGGGGUUGG
Molecule: non-coding RNA, 13241 nt
Organism: Oryctolagus cuniculus (rabbit)
Lineage: Eukaryota; Metazoa; Chordata; Mammalia; Lagomorpha; Leporidae
Source: RefSeq, a predicted model, not a curated record